Molecule: long non-coding RNA, 364 nt
Organism: Canis lupus familiaris (dog)
Lineage: Eukaryota; Metazoa; Chordata; Mammalia; Carnivora; Canidae
Exons: 3
Source: RefSeq, a predicted model, not a curated record
CCCCAGGCGGGCCCUGCACCCCCCAGGAGGGCCCGGCUCAGCGGGCGGGGCUCCCCGAGAGGCCGCGGUUGCCUGCGGGGCUCCCGAGGGUCUUCCCCGCGGCGCAUCCCCUCCCGCGGCAGCUGAAAGGUGGACUGCUGUCUUCUGAGGACAUUGUGUAUGAUUUCUUUCCCCUCUUUUAAGUCUACGAAAAAUUCAAAUGAAGUUUGUUUUACCAUCUUUGAAUUGGAAUUCAAAUAUACAUUUCAGGGAUCCCUGGGUGGUGCAGCGGUUUAGCGCCUACCUUUGGCCCAGCGUGCGAUCCUGGAGACCCGGGAUCAAAUCCCACAUCGGUGCAUGGAGCCUGCUUCUCCCUCUGCCUGUG